Molecule: ribosomal RNA, 253 nt
Filed under: uncultured bacterium
Lineage: Bacteria
Description: partial 16S ribosomal RNA
Rfam family: Bacterial small subunit ribosomal RNA
Source: RNAcentral
UACAGAGGGGGCAAGCGUUAUUCGGAAUUAUUGGGCGUAAAGGGCGCGUAGGCGGCCUGGCAAGUGGAUGGUGAAAUCCCUCGGCUUAACCGAGGAACUGCCAUCCAGACUGCUUGGCUUGAGACCGGGAGAGGUGAGUGGAAUUCCCAGUGUAGCGGUGAAAUGCGUAGAUAUUGGGAGGAACACCUGUGGCGAAAGCGGCGCACUGGACCAUAACUGACGCUGAUGCGCGAAAGCUAGGGGAGCAAACAGG